GGGUGAGUAACGCGUAAGGAACUUGCCUCUUGGUCUGGGACAACUGUUGGAAACGACAGCUAAUACCGGAUAUUAUGAGAUUCUCGCAUGGGAAACUUAUGAAAGCUAUAUUCGCCAAGAGAGAGCCUUGCGUUCCAUUAGCUAGUUGGUGGGGUAACGGCCCACCAAGGCGACGAUGGAUAGCCGGCCUGAGAGGGUGAACGGCCACAAGGGGACUGAGACACGGCCCUUACUCCUACGGGAGGCAGCAGUGGGGAAUAUUGGACAAUGGGCCACAAGCCUGAUCCAGCAAUUCUGUGUGCACGAUGAAGGUCUUCGGAUUGUAAAGUGCUUUCAGUUGGGAAGAAGAAAGUGACGGUACCAACAGAAGAAGCGACGGCUAAAUACGUGCCAGCAGCCGCGGUAAUACGUAUGUCGCAAGCGUUAUCCGGAUUUAUUGGGCGUAAAGCGCGUCUAGGCGGAAAAAUAAGUCUGAUGUUAAAAUGCGGGGCUCAACUCCGUAUUGCGUUGGAAACUGUUUUUCUAGAGUACUGGAGAGGUGGGCGGAACUACAAGUGUAGAGGUGAAAUUCGUAGAUAUUUGUAGGAAUGCCGAUGGAGAAGUCAGCUCACUGGACAGAUACUGACGCUAAAGCGCGAAAGCGUG
RNAcentral lists this ribosomal RNA (645 nucleotides) under uncultured bacterium. Its description in RNAcentral is "bacterial SSU rRNA". It matches the Rfam family "Bacterial small subunit ribosomal RNA", at positions 104 to 763 of the family's 1533-position model. The record is from RNAcentral.